Non-coding RNA from Microcebus murinus (gray mouse lemur), 1945 nucleotides. NCBI's taxonomy places the organism in Eukaryota, Metazoa, Chordata, Mammalia, Primates, Cheirogaleidae. The record is from RefSeq and is a predicted model, not a curated record.
CCAGACAGUCCGAUCUCCCGAAAUCGGUCGUUGGUUCUCCUCCGAGUUGACCACGGAUCGCCCCUCCCCCCAUGCUCUCAGCACUGAUGUGUGGCAGGAGUCCUCGCUGGGCAGAAGGCUCCAGGCAGCACCUGCCAAGAGGACAGUGAAGGGGCGCCCUUGGGCUCAUCUGCGCUCUGAUAAGAAGCGUAUCCAGUUUCCAAGUCUAAAGUGAUCCUGGCAAACUCGGUUCUGUGAUUAGAAGUGCACGGAACAUGGAAAACUAUUAAUGAGCAGAGGAACAUCUUGGUGUGUGGCCCGUGCCAGGGGGAGAAUGCAGUGUGCUCUUAAUGAACCUGACCAAGUUACCGCCAAGCUGCCUGCACCCCGAGAUCUCACCAGCUGUGACCUCACGUCGCCCAUCUGAGUGCUUAGGCAGGAGGAGUUUAAGAUAAUUUGAAGUUAUUUGAGAUCCUGUGAAGGCCUGUCUACUUCUGCUUCAUCUUCUUCUUAGGGCAUAACCUAAAGUGAGAAGAAUUUUCCAGCAGCAACACUGCCGCUCGCCUACCCAGCAGGCCCUGGACUCCAAGGCCCAUCCCUCUAAUUCUGAGAGAUUGUCAGAAUUCUCAGUCAGCUUCUCAGUGAUCCCUUGAAGGAUAGGCUCAUGCUACGAGGAAAAAAGCAACUCCCAACUUCAGUUCUACAUCAUUCCUCAGAUCCUGGUCUAUAAAUUUUCACUACCUUGUUAGCUCUCCAUUGCCAUCAGAUAGUUUUUAAUAUCUCGUGUAAUUGUUCUAGCUGUCCUCUGGAAGAUUUGUCCAAAGCGUUUGAUAUUAUUGGAGGCAGAAAUUCCAAACUGAAAAUGUUUAUGCAAGCUUGCCAAGGCAUGACAUUACCAUUAUCAAUAAUUAAUAACAACAAUAAUAAUGAUAAUAGUGAAACCCACCAACUUCUGAAGUUACCUGGAAGAUAACGACACACAGGAAGGAAGACAGUAAGCCUCACAUCUGAGCCACAGCUGCAGACUUAUUUUGAAGCCUUCCUUGUUGUGUCUCCCUGUUUUUUCAUCACAUCUUUUCUGCAUUAUUUUCAUUGUUUCAAAUCCAUAGUUAAUAUUUUCAUCCACCAUGCUAUUAUUUUUGAAUCAUCUUUUCACUUUGAUCAUCUUUAAUCCCCUAAGUUUGAAAUGGUAAAAAUGGAAAUGGACAGGUGGUCUCCUUCCCAUCACCAACCAUGCCUGCCCUGUUUCCUUCUGUUAGAAGCACCACUUCCCCUCUCAAGUGCCCUGGGUCCCAAUUUUUCUCUUUGAUCAUAGGGAACACCAUUGUCUACCCCCAGCCAGUAUGGCUUUCCUGAAGCAGGAGCCACUUCCCAUCAAUGCUAGCUGAAGCCAUAGGAUGGACCACAGCACUGGGAGAGACUACGGAAGUCACGGUAUGGGAUUAUCUCAUCCAAUAAUUAAGGAAACACAUCUGGAAAGGUUAAGAAUAAGAUGUCAUUUCUUACACAGUUGCACUUGGGGGAUGUUUCCAUAUAUUUCAAGACCUGAUAGACACUUCAGGCUCCCAUGGAAGAAUAUUUUUGAGAAGCAAUUGAAGUUCCUCCCAGGUUGCUCAUUUCUCAAGUAUGUGGAGAGUAAAUCCUGUUUCAUCGGGUUCCAGAGGAAGCAUUCGGAGGGAGUUCAUAGCAAAGCUUCCUGUCUGUUGAAAUGACUUCCCAGUGGCAGAAGCUGUAUUGUGGGUUUUGUUGCCACGUCAUCUCUUGGGCACCAUGGCUCUGGCGCUGGCUUUCUGUUGGUACCAGUGGCCCUGGCACAAGGUCUGUGAAGGAGCCUGGCACUUCAGUCCCCUCCUUGAUCCCCGGGAGGCAUUUAGGGUCCAUGUUUUCUGUUGCUUCACCCACAUCCCUGCUGGUACCAGGGUCCACCUCAAAAUACAGUGCUCAGUUCAUUGGAUAGGUAGCUAUU